CUCCUCCCAAGGACUCAACCUCGGCGGCGCGCUCUACAACUUGUCCACCCAAGCCUUCGAGCCAUCCAACAGCCUCGGCGGGGCGGUCUACACCUUCGUCGCCCAAGCCUCCCAGGCAUACAACAGCCUCGACGGCGGGCUCUACAACCUCACCGCCUAGACCACCCAGGGAGGCGACCUCGGUGGUGGCGGGCUCUACAACCUCGCCGCCCAGGCCACCCAGGGAACCGACCUCGGCGGCGGCAGCAGCAGCAGCGGCGGCAUCGCCAUCGCCAUCGCCAUCGCCGCGCCGGAAGACCUUGCCCCGCUCAAGUGGGUCCGCAAGAAGCGCUCGCACGUCCGCUCCUACUCCUGAACCCGUACCCGUGCCUACUCCCACACCAGCACCGGUGCCCACUCCCACCCCCGCGGCUGAGCCCGAACUGACCCCCACUUAGACGCAUUGCGAUCAUCCGCGGAGGACGCUAACGCCGGUGCCGGCGGCGAGCAGCAGCAGCCAGCGCCGAAGGAGCAGCAGAGGCCGCGUCGGCCAAGGCGGCCCACAGCAGCGCCGAGCAGGAGCCUAGGCAGCCGACGCCGCAGAGGCAGCAGCCGCCGCGUCAGGCGUCGAUGAGGGAGAAAAGCAAGGCGCCGAUGGUGCAGAGCCCCCCGCGAAAAAGUUUUUUUACCGGUGCUGGGAGCUACCGGUGAAGUCCCAACCAAUCAAAUGCUUCCAGCUAACUUUGUGUGGGCCAACUAUCCAAUGAUAUAGUGUUGUACUUUGCUAGUAUCCGGUCCAUUAAAUCAAAUCAAUGUGAGACCCAACCGUACUACUGAGUGCAACUUUUAUGCCUAGCCAUGCAUGCAUGUUGUUAGACCACUCCACACACAGAAAAGGCAAACAUUUUAUUUAUCUUGGAAGAUAUUAAUUCAUUGAUAUCUUUUGAAUAAAAAUUUCAUUUUGAAAUAUUUUUACACAUUUGAAUUCCUGACGCCGUGAUCUUUAAAAUAAGAUCAAACUUGAAUACAUUUCGAACGAGUUCAAAUUUGUUGCAACAUAUUUCACUCAUUUGUAAUAAACAAAUUUCACUCAUUUCUCAAAAAAUGAUUUAACUUGUUUAUUUCACUCAUUCAAAAUACUUAAUUUCAAUCAUUCCAAAACACAUAUUUCAAUCAUUUGACCAAAUUGGUUUCACUCAUUUCAAAAAACGGAUUUCACUACGUUCAAUUCAAAGACAGUGUUCACUAAAUUGAGAUGUGAAACUUGUUAUUUGAAUACAUUUCGAACGAGUUUAAAAUUGUUGCAACAUAUUUCACUCAUUUCUUAAAAAUUGAUUUAACUUGUUUAUUUCACUCAUUUCAAAAUACUUGUUUCAGUCAUGUCAAAACACAUAUUUCAAUCAUUUGAAAUAAUUGGUUUCACUCAUUUCAAAAAACGGAUUUCACUCCUUUCAAUUCAAAGACAGUGUUCACUCAAUUGAGAUGUGAAACUUGUUAUUUGAAUACAUUUCGAAUGAGUUUAAAAUUCUUGCAACAUAUUUUACUCAUUUCUAAUAAACAAAUUUCACUCAUUCCUUAAAAAAUGAUUUAGCUUGUUUAUUUCACUCAUUUCAAAAUACUUAUUUCAGUCAUUUCAAAACACAUAUUUCAAUCAUUUGAAAAAAAAUCAGUUUCACUUAUUUUCAAAACAAAAAAAAACGUAAGACCAACCCCACUCAUUUUCAAAAACUUGUUUCACUCCUUUGAAAGAACACAUUUUACUCAUUUUCAAAAACUUAUUUCACUCCUUUGAAAAACAUAACUAGAAUUGAAAUAUAAUUAAAAAUUUAAACUAGUCAAAAUAUAUCCAAGAUUGGUCUUGAUUUAAAGAUCUUGUCGACCUAAAUACAAAUAUAUAAAAAGUUUCCAAAACAAAAAUUCGGUUUAAAAGUUAUGAGCAAUUCAAAAUGCUAGACUGAAAAUAAAAGGCAAGCUUUUUGUUUGGAGAGAGAGAGAGACAAGGACGACAUGUGCAUGCAACCAGUGUUGUACUAUUCUGAGUGAAAGCAUCCUCCACUAGUACUUUCCCUGGCAAAAGUCUGUGUAUGUCAGUUGUAUUAGCUGUGUAUUCUGUCUGUAUCUCCAAAUGUGAAUGGAUUUUAUUUACAUCCCGGUUCUGGUAAAAGAGACUUUGCGGAGCCCCCUGCGGUGGCGCCGCACGUCGCGGCCAAGGCGGCGGCGGCCGCGCGUCGCGACCCAGCUCACCCGCAAGGAGAAGGAGGAGGACUGGUUCGCGAUGACCGGCGGCAGGCUGCCCUACCGCCCCUGCAGCGCCGCCCCAAGGCCGUCGAGGACGAGCUCCAGAAACUGUUCCCGGGGCAGACGCUGCCUGAGGUGACCAGGGCCAGGUACAUGGUGCGCGAGAAGAAGCAAAAGAAGCGCGCCGGCCUGCAAGCAAUGGCGGAGGAGGAUGACCUGAGCUCCAAGAGGCGCCACGACGACGAGGACGACGUGGCGGGAGAAAAAGACCAUUUGGGCGUUGCCGAUGCGGAGGAGCGCGGUAGCCGGAGGAAGAGAGGUUGAAGGCAGCAGUGGACUCAUGUGCAUUCCAUGAGCCUCAGUCGGAACAAAAAAAAAAAAGAACUCUAGCCAGCGUUCGGCUUUUCCCUUUUCUUGGACUUUCGUUCGUUCGUGUCGUCGAUGAGACGGUUCAUUGGUUUACAAUGGUCGGUCAUCGCCCGCCGUCGCUGUUUCCGCACCUCCGUAGUGGGGGCCGGGGUGGCGGCGGGCUGGUUGGUUGAAGCCCGCAGUCGCUGUUUCCGCACCUCCGUGGUGCACUAGUAGAAAACAGGG
Molecule: long non-coding RNA, 2811 nt
Organism: Aegilops tauschii subsp. strangulata
Lineage: Eukaryota; Viridiplantae; Streptophyta; Magnoliopsida; Poales; Poaceae
Source: RefSeq, a predicted model, not a curated record